UAAUAAAUAAAAAAAAAAAAAAAAAAGAAACUAUGUCACUAACGUGUCCUCCUGUGGCCGUGCUGCGUGUGGGGAUUCCCAGCAUGGGCUCGACAGCCCUCCAGCGCCAUCUUCCCCCUCACCAGAAACGUGUAUGGUGGGGAAAGUCAGGAAGCCCCAUGAGUUUCAGGCACCUUGAUUAAUCUUUAAACAUUUUCGUAGACCAAUAUCUUGAUUGAUAGAUGCAUUUGCUUGGUGUCCAGCAGUUUUUAUACCCUAGAGCAAUUCAUCAUAAUGAGACUUGGCGUGGGCAAGGGACCUGCCCUUCUGUUGUAGGGUGGGGAAGGACUGUGUGAAUACAACCCUGUUAGGAAAGAGUAUGUAUAGAAGACACAGAUCUGGAAAUGGGUUCCCUUGAAGUCAUCUGUAUGCACGCACACCUCGGCAAGUCUCUCUGUGUCCCCCUGUUUGAAGGGUACUGCCCAGAGGCUCAGGGGCUCAGGGCUCUGUCUGAGAAGGCGCUAAGGGUAGAGGCGCCACUUUGUGGGCCCACUACUGCUACUUCAUCUGGAGCAGCUGGGCUGCUUUUCUGUUUCACAUUUAAACUUUUGUUUGAAGGGAGAGUUUUGCUGCUAAAAAUAACAAUUUGAGAAACACAGCUUCCAUGGGGAACCAUUUAAGGAUUUUAAGCAAGGAGUGACAUAAUUAGGUUUUUAUAUCAAAAGGUCACUUUGGCAUCUGAACACAUUGUGGAGGAUAGAUUAAAGGGAGGUGAGACUGGAGGCCCAGAGACUUCUCACAGAGGCCAAAACAGUCCAAAGGAAAAAUUGUAAGAGCUGGCAACUCUGGGCUCCGUCCCAGGGUGGCAGCAUCCACUUUAGACUGGGCGGGGGCUUCGUGGUUCGCAAGUCCCCACCCAGUUGCUCUAUGCUUUCACAUCUUCUGCCUGGCCUUUGCCUUCGUGACCCCUGCCUUGGGACAAUCUUUGACUCCUUCCUCCUCAUCCUGUGGAUCUAGUCUGCCAUCAAGUCUUGUCGUUUCUUCCUUCAAAUUAUCUCAUAUUUGUUUCUCUCUCUCCAUAUUACUAUUCCGUCAUCCUAGACCAGGCACUUAGCAUUUCAUGCUUGGCUCUCCAGGAGCCUCUUAACUGGUCUUCCUGCUGUCAGUCUGUCUGCAAACCAACCCUAUAUUGCCACUGCUAGCUACUCUUUUUCUUUUUCAAGACACAUUGCAGCCAUGCAAAAAGAGUACAGUUUUGUCAAAUCUUGCUUCAGAUUUCUUCUCCUCUCACCAGUCCUUGGCUUUUCUAGGAAAUUCUAAGUGGAACAUAAGAUUAAAAUGGUGAUUAAUACCCUUCCAGUCUCUAGAAGCUGUUGCGGUAUGUUUCUCUCGCUUCUUUUUAUGUGAGAUAUUUUUAAAUUGAGCGGGCCUUAAAAGGUGAGGGAAUACGUGCCUCCUUUUCUCAGGGAAAUAUUAUGUGAAGAAAGUAGAAUUUUUAAAUGGAGUGGAGAAGGAAAUAUAACAGCAUAUUUUAUUUGAGGCUUUAUGGUAUCAGAUGUUCCCAUCGGGUGGUAAAUAAUUACUUGGGUUGGUAAUAAUGGUGAAGGGUAGUAAAAGGAACAUAGGAAAGCAGCAUAUGUAUUUGGGAAAACAGGCCAAGUGUGGAAGAAUAAUGGAACCAAUGGGGCCUUCCUGGGCCUCACAGAGGUGCUGGUCCAGGCUUUGAUGGAGGAGACAGGUGAAAAAUGGGUUUACCUGGAGCUUGAAUCGUCAUGAAGAUAAAUGUACAUGGUUGCUUCUCCUGACAAUUCUUAAAUUCCUUCUUAGGAAUCAUUGGCUCUCUUUGAAGCAUUUUCCAUGGAAAAACUACUUGUCUGGGCUGUCUUUUCACAAAACCGCUAUUUCUGACCCUCAGGGUAUGGUACCAGUUCAACUUUUAGAAUACUUAUCUAGACAGGAGUCCUCACCGGGAUCUGCAGUUGCUCCGGAAAGACUCUCUGGGUCUUUGGUGGGCGUUACCUUGUAAGCAUGGCUUCAUAUGCAAAUUCUGGACCCUCGGGUUUGCUCUACACCAGACCAUGCCUCCAGGCCCAUAGGAUGCCAGCAAAAGAAAACACCUUCUUGUCUUCUCUCUGCCUGCCCAAGCUGACCUGCAGAAAAUGGCUAGAAGAGCUCUACGUGACUGUCUCCUGCACACAAGACAGACAGGUCCACGAGAACCUGCCAACAGAGGGCAGAAAACAGCGGUGGAGAGACCAAAUCAGGCAGGAAGACACAUUUCAAAUGCAGUAUUUCAACAAGGGAGAGGAGGAGGCAGUGGAAAAAGAAACAUAGUAAAAUUACUAUGGACUCAGCUUUCAAUUACCUUUAAAUGAGGGUGUUAAACAAUAUAUGUAUAAGAUUCCUUUUAGCCCUGAAAUUCUGUGAUUCUGGUGGAGAUUAUGUCAUUUUGGAUUUGCGUCCCUCAUUAAGCUGUGUGUAGUUGCUUAAAAAGUAUUAUUUGGUUGAUUCUAUCUAAAGUUAGAGCCAUGUCUUUUUCAGAUUGUCCUGUCACCCUUUUGACUGUUCUGUCCUUCCUUUCCUUGCUCAGAUAGGACGAAAUUCCUUUUCACUAACAGUGUUGGAAGCUGGAACUGGAGUUAGCAUCCCUGUGUUAAAGUAAGAGCUGCCCUAAGGCUUCUGUUUCCACUGAGCUUGGGGCAAGAGACAUUGUUGGGGGGCUUGCCUUUGGCCUGUGCACCCAAGCACAAAUUCCUGUUACAUGCUCCUUAAGGUAAGGGUGUCAUUCAGCUUUUUUGGUAUUCACCCUACAGCUUGUGCAAGGCAGCCACUGUUCAAUAAAGAAAUAUUGU
Molecule: long non-coding RNA, 2831 nt
Organism: Equus caballus (horse)
Lineage: Eukaryota; Metazoa; Chordata; Mammalia; Perissodactyla; Equidae
Source: RefSeq, a predicted model, not a curated record